UUUAAUGAGAGUUUGAUCCUGGCUCAGGACGAACGCUGGCGGCGUGCCUAACACAUGCAAGUCGAGCGAUCUGGCACUCAAU
Molecule: ribosomal RNA, 82 nt
Filed under: Tissierellia bacterium
Lineage: Bacteria; Bacillati; Bacillota; Tissierellia
Description: partial 16S ribosomal RNA
Rfam family: Bacterial small subunit ribosomal RNA
Source: RNAcentral